AGUGAGAUUGCUAGAUCAUAUGGCAGUUAUGUUUUCAGUUUUUAAAGGAACAUCCAUAUUGUUUUCUAUAAUGGCUGCACUAGUUUACUUUCCUACCAGUGGU
Molecule: microRNA precursor, 103 nt
Filed under: Marmota monax (woodchuck)
Lineage: Eukaryota; Metazoa; Chordata; Mammalia; Rodentia; Sciuridae
Source: RNAcentral